UACAGAGGUCUCAAGCGUUGUUCGGAUUCAUUGGGCGUAAAGGGUGCGUAGGUGGCGCUGUAAGUCGGGUGUGAAAUUUCGGAGCUUAACUCCGAAACUGCAUUCGAUACUGCGGUGCUUGAGGACUGGAGAGGAGACUGGAAUUCAUGGUGUAGCAGUGAAAUGCGUAGAGAUCAUGAGGAAGACCAGUGGCGAAGGCGGGUCUCUGGACAGUUCCUGACACUGAGGCACGAAGGCCAGGGGAGCAAACAGG
This 253-nucleotide ribosomal RNA is filed under the name uncultured bacterium. Its description in RNAcentral is "partial 16S ribosomal RNA". It matches the Rfam family "Bacterial small subunit ribosomal RNA", at positions 524 to 776 of the family's 1533-position model. The record is from RNAcentral.